Molecule: long non-coding RNA, 625 nt
Organism: Scophthalmus maximus (turbot)
Lineage: Eukaryota; Metazoa; Chordata; Actinopteri; Pleuronectiformes; Scophthalmidae
Exons: 3
Source: RefSeq, a predicted model, not a curated record
UUCUGCACAGGCUAUGGCUCAAAUCAAAAGCAGGUGAUGGUGGCACUCGUAUCCGAGAUAUUCUAGCUUCACUUCUGUACAAUGGCGGAGAUGCAUCUUCCAUCUUCAUAUACAGCCAUCGAUCAUCUUUAUUUGCAGUCUACGAGUCAGACACACUCUCAGUGACUAAUAAGUUACUGCAUACAGGAGUAUUCAAAAGCAAGUCUUCCUCAUCAGAAAAGUGUUCUACGAGGUUGAGGUGAUGGGGGCGUAACAUAACAGGUUUCUGUGGGAACCAGGCACAAACACACACCUACGACGAAUUUACCUGGUCGACCAGCAGGGGGCAAAACCGACCUGAGCUCACAGUCACUGAACUCCUCACUCUGGACGUAACUUCACGUCCAUCAGAGAGUCUGUGGCCUGAGAACACUGAACCGAAUCCACCGCUGCCGAGCAGAGGACCACAGUGAUACUGGCUGCAGAACGGUUCUUUCACUGAGGGGAGAGAACAUGGAAUCAUCAGCUGUGGAACAAUAUGAUAAAAUAAACCCCCAACAGACCAACAGUCGUCCUGUUUAUUUCCUCCUGAUCUGUUUCUGUGGCCAAAAAUAAAACCCCCUGAGGUUUGUGUUAAUUCCAACAA